CAGCCGCCGCGGUAAUACAGAGGGUGCGAGCGUUAAUCGGAUUUACUGGGCGUAAAGCGUGCGUAGGCGGCUUCUUAAGUCGGAUGUGAAAUCCCUGAGCUUAACUUAGGAAUUGCAUUCGAUACUGGGAAGCUAGAGUAUGGGAGAGGAUGGUAGAAUUCCAGGUGUAGCGGUGAAAUGCGUAGAGAUCUGGAGGAAUACCGAUGGCGAAGGCAGCCAUCUGGCCUAAUACUGACGCUGAGUUACGAAAGCAUGGGGAGCAAACAGGAUUAGAUACCCCAGUAGUCCCUGUCUCUUAUAC
This 301-nucleotide ribosomal RNA is filed under the name uncultured bacterium. Its description in RNAcentral is "partial 16S ribosomal RNA". It matches the Rfam family "Bacterial small subunit ribosomal RNA", at positions 509 to 807 of the family's 1533-position model. The record is from RNAcentral.